UCCCUGGUGGCUCAGACGGUAAAAGCGUCUGCUUUCAAUGCGGGAGAUCCAGGUUCCAGCCCUGGGUUGGGAA
This 73-nucleotide transfer RNA is filed under the name Ovis aries (sheep). It matches the Rfam family "tRNA". From Rfam's summary of the family: Transfer RNA (tRNA) molecules are approximately 80 nucleotides in length. Their secondary structure includes four short double-helical elements and three loops (D, anti-codon, and T loops). Lineage: Eukaryota; Metazoa; Chordata; Mammalia; Artiodactyla; Bovidae. The record is from Rfam by way of RNAcentral.